Mustela putorius furo (domestic ferret) is the source of this 121-nucleotide ribosomal RNA. Lineage: Eukaryota; Metazoa; Chordata; Mammalia; Carnivora; Mustelidae. The record is from Ensembl.
GUCUACAGCCAGACCACCCUGAACACACCCGAUCUCUCCUAAUCUUGGAAGCUAAGAAGAGUUGGGCCUGGUUAGUACUUGGAUGGUACAGGCAGAGACAGAAAGAGGGUGGUUACUGCCC